GGGUUGUGAGGUUAAGCGACUAAGCGUACACGGUGGAUGCCCUGGCAGUCAGAGGCGAUGAAGGACGUGCUAAUCUGCGAUAAGCGCCGGUAAGGUGAUAUGAACCGUUAUAACCGGCGAUUUCCGAAUGGGGAAACCCAGUGUGUUUCGACACACUAUCAUUACGUGAAUACAUAGCGUAAUGAAGCGAACCGGGGGAACUGAAACAUCUAAGUACCCCGAGGAAAAGAAAUCAACCGAGAUUCCCCCAGUAGCGGCGAGCGAACGGGGAGGAGCCCAGAGCCUGAAUCAGCAUGUGUGUUAGUGGAAGCGUCUGGAAAGGCGCGCGAUACAGGGUGACAGCCCCGUACACAAAAGCGCAUGUGCUGUGAGCUCGAUGAGUAGGGCGGGACACGUGGUAUCCUGUCUGAAUAUGGGGGGACCAUCCUCCAAGGCUAAAUACUCCUGACUGACCGAUAGUGAACCAGUACCGUGAGGGAAAGGCGAAAAGAACCCCGGCGAGGGGAGUGAAAAAGAACCUGAAACCGUGUGCGUACAAGCAGUGGGAGCACAGGUUUACCUGUGUGACUGCGUACCUUUUGUAUAAUGGGUCAGCGACUUAUAUUCUGUAGCAAGGUUAACCGAAUAGGGGAGCCGGAGGGAAACCGAGUCUUAACCGGGCGUUAAGUUGCAGGGUAUAGACCCGAAACCCGGUGAUCUAGCCAUGGGCAGGUUGAAGGUUGGGUAACACUAACUGGAGGACCGAACCGACUAAUGUUGAAAAAUUAGCGGAUGACCUGUGGCUGGGGGUGAAAGGCCAAUCAAACCGGGAGAUAGCUGGUUCUCCCCGAAAGCUAUUUAGGUAGCGCCUCGUGAAUUCAUCUCCGGGGGUAGAGCACUGUUUCGGCUAGGGGGCCAUCCCGGCUUACCAACCCGAUGCAAACUGCGAAUACCGGAGAAUGUUAUCACGGGAGACACACGGCGGGUGCUAACGUCCGUCGUGAAGAGGGAAACAACCCAGACCGCCAGCUAAGGUCCCAAAGUCAUGGUUAAGUGGGAAACGAUGUGGGAAGGCCCAGACAGCCAGGAUGUUGGCUUAGAAGCAGCCAUCAUUUAAAGAAAGCGUAAUAGCUCACUGGUCGAGUCGGCCUGCGCGGAAGAUGUAACGGGGCUAAACCAUGCACCGAAGCUGCGGCAGCGACACUGUGUGUUGUUGGGUAGGGGAGCGUUCUGUAAGCCUGUGAAGGUGGCCUGUGAGGGUUGCUGGAGGUAUCAGAAGUGCGAAUGCUGACAUAAGUAACGAUAAAGCGGGUGAAAAGCCCGCUCGCCGGAAGACCAAGGGUUCCUGUCCAACGUUAAUCGGGGCAGGGUGAGUCGACCCCUAAGGCGAGGCCGAAAGGCGUAGUCGAUGGGAAACGGGUUAAUAUUCCCGUACUUGGUGUUACUGCGAAGGGGGGACGGAGAAGGCUAUGUUGGCCGGGCGACGGUUGUCCCGGUUUAAGCGUGUAGGUGUGUGUUCCAGGUAAAUCCGGUUCACUUUAACACUGAGGCGUGACGACGAGGCACUACGGUGCUGAAGCAACAAAUGCCCUGCUUCCAGGAAAAGCCUCUAAGCAUCAGGUAACAUCAAAUCGUACCCCAAACCGACACAGGUGGUCAGGUAGAGAAUACCAAGGCGCUUGAGAGAACUCGGGUGAAGGAACUAGGCAAAAUGGUGCCGUAACUUCGGGAGAAGGCACGCUGACACGUAGGUGAAGUGAUUUACUCAUGGAGCUGAAGUCAGUCGAAGAUACCAGCUGGCUGCAACUGUUUAUUAAAAACACAGCACUGUGCAAACACGAAAGUGGACGUAUACGGUGUGACGCCUGCCCGGUGCCGGAAGGUUAAUUGAUGGGGUCAGCGCAAGCGAAGCUCCUGAUCGAAGCCCCGGUAAACGGCGGCCGUAACUAUAACGGUCCUAAGGUAGCGAAAUUCCUUGUCGGGUAAGUUCCGACCUGCACGAAUGGCGUAAUGAUGGCCAGGCUGUCUCCACCCGAGACUCAGUGAAAUUGAACUCGCUGUGAAGAUGCAGUGUACCCGCGGCAAGACGGAAAGACCCCGUGAACCUUUACUAUAGCUUGACACUGAACAUUGAGCCUUGAUGUGUAGGAUAGGUGGGAGGCUUUGAAGUGUGGACGCCAGUCUGCAUGGAGCCGACCUUGAAAUACCACCCUUUAAUGUUUGAUGUUCUAACGUGGACCCGUUACCCGGGUUGCGGACAGUGUCUGGUGGGUAGUUUGACUGGGGCGGUCUCCUCCUAAAGAGUAACGGAGGAGCACGAAGGUUGGCUAAUCCUGGUCGGACAUCAGGAGGUUAGUGCAAUGGCAUAAGCCAGCUUGACUGCGAGCGUGACGGCGCGAGCAGGUGCGAAAGCAGGUCAUAGUGAUCCGGUGGUUCUGAAUGGAAGGGCCAUCGCUCAACGGAUAAAAGGUACUCCGGGGAUAACAGGCUGAUACCGCCCAAGAGUUCAUAUCGACGGCGGUGUUUGGCACCUCGAUGUCGGCUCAUCACAUCCUGGGGCUGAAGUAGGUCCCAAGGGUAUGGCUGUUCGCCAUUUAAAGUGGUACGCGAGCUGGGUUUAGAACGUCGUGAGACAGUUCGGUCCCUAUCUGCCGUGGGCGCUGGAGAAUUGAGGGGGGCUGCUCCUAGUACGAGAGGACCGGAGUGGACGCAUCACUGGUGUUCGGGUUGUCAUGCCAAUGGCACUGCCCGGUAGCUAAAUGCGGAAGAGAUAAGUGCUGAAAGCAUCUAAGCACGAAACUUGCCCCGAGAUGAGUUCUCCCUGAGACUUUAAGUCUCCUGAAGGAACGUUGAAGACGACGACGUUGAUAGGCCGGGUGUGUAAGCGCAGCGAUGCGUUGAGCUAACCGGUACUAAUGAACCGUGAGGCUUAACCUUACAACGCCGAAG
RNAcentral lists this ribosomal RNA (2928 nucleotides) under Salmonella enterica subsp. enterica serovar Tennessee. RNAcentral describes it as "bacterial LSU rRNA". It matches the Rfam family "Bacterial large subunit ribosomal RNA". Lineage: Bacteria; Pseudomonadati; Pseudomonadota; Gammaproteobacteria; Enterobacterales; Enterobacteriaceae. The record is from RNAcentral.